RNAcentral lists this long non-coding RNA (665 nucleotides) under Calidris pugnax (ruff). RNAcentral's name for it is "lncRNA (ENSCPUG00000013132.1)". The stretch from base 553 to 622 matches the Rfam family "tRNA". Lineage: Eukaryota; Metazoa; Chordata; Aves; Charadriiformes; Scolopacidae. The record is from RNAcentral.
AUGUUUUGUUUGUUUUGUUUGUUUGUUUGUUCUUUUAUUGGGGUUAUGUUUUGUGUUAGGGGGUUUAGCUGUUGCGUCCAAUCCUUCUCCGUAUUAUGGGGUAGUUGGUUUAGUGUUAGCUUCUGUUGCAGGAUGUGGUUGGCUAUUAAGUUUGGGUGUUUCUUUUGUGUCAUUGGUGCUGUUUAUAGUCUACUUGGGAGGAAUGUUGGUGGUUUUUGUUUACUCUGUGUCUUUGGCAGCAGAUCCUUUUCCUGAGGCUUGAGGGGAUUGACGUGUUGUUGGAUAUGGUAUGGGUUUUAUAUUGGUAGUGGUAGUUGGUAUGGUUGUUGGGGGUCUUGUUGAGUGUUGGAAGAUUGGGGUGGUUACUGUUGACAGUGGGGGAAUAUUUUUGGUGCGGUUGGAUUUUAGUGGGGUGGCCAUAUUUUAUUCGUGCGGGGUUGGAAUGUUUUUAGUGGCUGGGUGGGGGUUGUUAUUGACUUUGUUUGUGGUAUUAGAGUUGGUGCGUGGGUUAUCUCGUGGGGCGAUUCGAGCAGUUUAGGGUUGGGGGAAAGUCAGAGAAUAGUUUAGUAUAAAAUACCAGCUUUGGGAGUUGGAGAUAGAGGUUUGAGUCCUCUUUUUCUGAUUCUAUAUAAGAUGAACUCUAAGAAGAGGGGCAGUCUUCAGUC